RNAcentral lists this ribosomal RNA (447 nucleotides) under uncultured bacterium. Its description in RNAcentral is "bacterial SSU rRNA". It matches the Rfam family "Bacterial small subunit ribosomal RNA", at positions 355 to 825 of the family's 1533-position model. The record is from RNAcentral.
UCGGGAAUUUUGGGCAAUGGGCGAAAGCCUGACCCAGCAACGCCGCGUGAAGGAUGAAGUAUUUCGGUAUGUAAACUUCGAAAGAAUAGGAAGAAUAAAUGACGGUACUAUUUAUAAGGUCCGGCUAACUACGUGCCAGCAGCUGCGGUAAUACGUAGGGACCAAGCGUUGUUCGGAUUUACUGGGCGUAAAGGGCGCGUAGGCGGCAAUUCAAGUCAUCUGUGAAAUCUCCGGGCUUAACUCGGAACGGUCAGAUGAUACUGCUUUGCUAGAGUGCAGAAGGGGCAAUCGGAAUUCUUGGUGUAGCGGUGAAAUGCGUAGAUAUCAAGAGGAACACCUGAGGUGAAGACGGGUUGCUGGGCUGACACUGACGCUGAGGCGCGAAAGCCAGGGGAGCAAACGGGAUUAGAUACCCCCGUAGUCCCUGAGCGGGCUGGCAAGGCGCAU